CGAGGGAGGCUGGGGAGGAGCUGAGCGGGGUUUGCACCCAGGCCGGGGGCCGUGGCUUUCCGGGGGCGGUCCUCUGCGGCCGGGCAUUCCACAGCCACUUAGCGCCGCGCGCGGGGUGCGGAGCCCUGGUCCUAGCAGCCUCCGAGUGCUCCUGGGCUCGGAGGAGCCAGCACACGUUCCGACGCUGCCUGGGCUGAGAUUCUAGGGGCGGGGGUCGCUUCUGGCUGCUGGAUCCUGCUUGAUCUUGGAGACCUGGAGAAGCGCGGGCGGUCGCUGUGCCAGGAACUUUCCGCAGACCUGCUGCGAUCUGGCUGUGGCGGGGGCCCCAGGAUUUCUAGGCGGCACCGCGGCUUCGGGGGGGAGACACAGCCUGUUGAAGGACACAUAUUUGAAGACUUGGAAGAGUGAAAGAGGUCAAUAGAGUGCCCUGGGCCCUCCUGACCACAUGUCUGGCCAGCCUUAGAAUCCUGGAACAGUAACUGUGGAAGGUCCUGUCCCUUGGAGAGCGUUGUGAUCUGUGGUUUUCCAACCGUGUUCUGAAAAGCCCAAGGAAUCAAGAGGAAGCCGAACAGCUGUGCUGGACCACCAAAGUGAGGCAGCAUGGAUGCCAUCAGCCAAUCCCCUGUGGACGCUGUGCUUCCCAAGCACAUCCUGGAUGUCUGGGCCAUCGUCCUCAUCAUCCUGGCCACCAUCGUCAUCAUGACCUCCUUGUUGCUGUGUCCAGCCACCGCAGUCAUCAUCUACCGCAUGCGGACUCAACCAGUGCUCAGUGGGGCUGUUUGAGAAGCACCCAAAGGCCCUGUGGGGAUGAGGACGCAAGUCCCUUGCCACAGCCUGUUCUCAGCGAAAUGCUGGGAAGGACUUGGGGUUAGACCUGCAUUCUAGGGCGAAGAUGCUUAAGUCAGAGAAGAUGCUUAAGAAGAUGCUUAAGUCACCCAGAGCCAAUGCACAACCUGGACUCCACUCUACCCUGCAAGUGGUCAAUAAAUCGAGCUCCUUUCUUCUGUUUCAGCAAGUCAGACUGACACUUUUUGAGGGUAAUAGGAGGACAUUUGGGACAUUCUCAAUUUUUGAUCGCUACAAAUAAAGUGACUGUGAACAUCCAUGUAUAGGGUU
Sciurus carolinensis (gray squirrel) is the source of this 1116-nucleotide RNA transcript. It is a transcript of the gene named small integral membrane protein 3, with no coding region annotated. The record is from RefSeq and is a predicted model, not a curated record. The transcript is spliced from 4 exons. Lineage: Eukaryota; Metazoa; Chordata; Mammalia; Rodentia; Sciuridae.